UACGAAGGGGGCUAGCGUUGUUCGGAUUUACUGGGCGUAAAGCGCACGUAGGCGGAUCGUUAAGUCGGGGGUGAAAUCCUGGAGCUCAACUCCAGAACUGCCUUCGAUACUGGCGAUCUAGAGUCCGGGAGAGGUGAGUGGAACUGCGAGUGUAGAGGUGAAAUUCGUAGAUAUUCGCAAGAACACCAGUGGCGAAGGCGGCUCGCUGGACCGGAACUGACGCUGAGGCGCGAAAGCGUGGGGAGCAAACAGG
RNAcentral lists this ribosomal RNA (253 nucleotides) under uncultured bacterium. Its description in RNAcentral is "partial 16S ribosomal RNA". It matches the Rfam family "Bacterial small subunit ribosomal RNA", at positions 524 to 776 of the family's 1533-position model. The record is from RNAcentral.